RNAcentral lists this long non-coding RNA (423 nucleotides) under Felis catus (domestic cat). RNAcentral's name for it is "lncRNA (ENSFCAG00000052825.1)". Lineage: Eukaryota; Metazoa; Chordata; Mammalia; Carnivora; Felidae. The record is from RNAcentral.
UUUGAUCACGACCAGAGAUGUUCCUGAACCAUCUGGCUCAUUUCCACGAGCAGAGGGCACAGGUCUGUUGGUAGCUGCCUCCCGCUUUGCACAUUUCUGCCAACGAGCCCGGAGAGGAGGGCCUGCCGUUCGAAUGAUGCCUGAAGUGCGCCAGGCCGGCUCUGUAUUGAAGAUGUCGACCAUCUUACCAUUGUUCUGAGGACAUUAGCAUCCCUCACCACCCCCAGCAUUUGUGCAUCCUGUUCUGGAGGAUCAGUAGGAGUUCAGGUAAGUCAGUGAGCAAUUGACACCUCAGGGGAACUCUCGGGCACUUCCCAGUCCCUUGACGGACUCCUCGUUUUCUCAGGGAGGGGCAGAAUCAGUCCCCAGGAUGUGAUCUUCCCUCUCCCCCUUCUCCUUUCCUCGCUGUACCUUUCAAUUAAA